This 217-nucleotide ribosomal RNA is filed under the name Enterobacter cloacae. RNAcentral's name for it is "partial 23S ribosomal RNA". It matches the Rfam family "Bacterial large subunit ribosomal RNA", at positions 2726 to 2925 of the family's 2925-position model. Lineage: Bacteria; Pseudomonadati; Pseudomonadota; Gammaproteobacteria; Enterobacterales; Enterobacteriaceae. The record is from RNAcentral.
AUGCCAAUGGCACUGCCCGGUAGCUAAAUGCGGAAGAGAUAAGUGCUGAAAGCAUCUAAGCACGAAACUUGCCCCGAGAUGAGUUCUCCCUGAGACUUCGAGUCUCCUGAAGGAACGUUGAAGACGACGACGUUGAUAGGUCGGGUGUGUAAGCGCAGCGAUGCGUUGAGCUAACCGAUACUAAUGAACCGUGAGGCUUAACCUUACAACGCCGAAG